GUAAAGUUUCUUUAUUUUCAUAAUAACUUUAUUUUUUAUUUUUUUAUGUAAUCUUCGCCUGGCGUUGUAGAAAAUGUAUUUGAAUUUUUAUACUCUUGCAACAUGUUGCUACAAAGUAUAAUCGUUUAGAUAUAAGGUUAUAAUUAUAAAUGAUCAGAAUGGUGAGACGAGUUGAAAUCCGGGUGACUGUCUGUCCGUCGUGUAACAUGAGUAAAAAUUGCGAUAUCUUAAUGAAGCUUUGUUCACAUGUUUCUUGGUGCCAUAAGAAUGUUUUUAUUUUAGAUGGGCGUAAUCGGACCACUGCCACGCGGCCGGACCACCACAGAAUGUUGCGGCCGACGACAGGGAAACGGCCGAGAGCUCCGCCAGGGAAAAGACGUGGCGAACCCACAGAACUCAGCGCCGAACCGGCAAAUAUUAUGCAUCAGGAGCGCGGCCGGUUAUACGCCUUAAUCAAGCUUGGCGAAGAACCGGCGGAAGCCGUCAUCGACACCGGCGCCUUAAAAAGUUUCGUAUCGUCACGAGUUGCAUAACGUAUGGACGCAACCGGUGUGGUAAGAUGGUAACCGUAGCCAUGCAAAUGGCCGACGGCACCACCAGCAAGAUUUACGACGCCGUAGAAACCAACAUCCAACUCGGACAGUCAUGGCUCCAAGCAGUGUUACAUGUUAUGCCCGGUGCAAUUCAUUGACGUCAUACUCGGAUUAGAUACACUGGGAAGCAUGGGAGCUAAGUUGCCCUGCGGAGGUCACUAGGUAGUGCUGACAGCGGCAGAUGCUCAGCAUUCAGCGGCCUUUCACACCAACCCAUCAGGAAUGGUAGGCAACGCAACCCCAACUACACCAAAUAGCCGACUACUAAAACCCAGUAGGACGAAGCACGUAAGCUAAAGUGCAGGAGGAUUAAUAGAGUCGAGCCUAGAUCGACCACCAACCAGAGAAACGAAGCGGCCCGCAUACGCGACGUCUUAGCCGAGGAGCUUCAAAAAUAUAUACGAUCAUCAAGAUAUCUUAGUUUUCGCUCAAGUUGUCGUUGCACGGACGGAGGGACAGACAGUCAACCGGAAUUCAAUUCGGCUCGUCAUCCUGAUCAUUUAUAUCUCAAGCAAAAAAAAAAUAGUAAUAUAUAUACAGGUUGGUUAAAAAGUUUCUGCGUUCGAAAUGAAAAAAUAUUGUUUUUGGAUCGUAUAGAUCGUACUAUAUUUUUUUAUUCAGUAUAAACUCCCUUAACUUCAAUACACUUAUUCCAAUGAUCCUCCAAUAAAAUCAUGGCAUCCCUAUAAUGUCUUCUCGGAAACUCUGGAAAAUACCCGUCUACGGCUGUAAAAGAAUCUUCAUUCGACGAAAAACGCUUUCCACCAAGGAAUUGUUUCAUGUUUCUGAAAAAUUAGUGGUCGAUAGUAGCCAAAUCUGCUAAUACGGUGGAUGCUCAAGCAAUUCGUACUAUAAUUCGUUGAAGUUUGUCAUUCUUAAAACACCUUUGUAAGCAGGUGCAUUGUCUUGAUGAAAAAUUAAUUUCACGCUUAGUCAAUCUUGGAUCUUCAUCUUCAAUCUAAACUUGCUCAAUGAUUUCUGGUGUGGUUGUGAUUAUCUUGAUUAGUUUUAGGUGUUAGAAAUAACUGUUAGGUGAACAAAACUAUUGUAAUAAAAACCAACCAUGUUGAAAAUAUUGUAAACAUGUUUUUAAAAAAUGUUUGUUAAGAAGUUAUGUUUUCGUGGAACUAUUUUCCUCCUUUAAAGCUUUGGUGUUUCAUCACUUAUGUCAUGCAGGUGCAGUAUUAAAAUUUGGAAUGCUGUAAUUCCAGAAUCUUGUAUCGAUAUACAAUAAUUUAGUUGAAAUGACUUGAUAUGAAAGUGUACUUUAAAAAAAAAAAAUAUUGUUAACAAUUUAAAAACCAAAAACACCAAAUUUUAUGUCCUAGCUUAUUUAAAGAAGCAAUGAACUUUUUUCUUUUUAAAUAACAUGAAGGUUUGAGCUAAAUAAAAAAUUUAAUAUUUGGUGGGCACCCUUUAGGUUUUAAUAUGGAAUUAGCCUAACUGUUAUCCAAAAAAGUACAUACGACAUAUAUACGAAGUACAUCGAUCACGAAAUAUUGGAUUAUUCCUAACUUUUCUUUUAACAUAAGGACGUUUUCGUCUUGAACCGUCAGAGCAAAGUUCACUAUGUGGCAGCCGUCCAAACCAAAAAAUCGUCUUUAAACAUUACGGCUACAGCAGCGCAAAUGUGCAUUACUGAAAAACAAGUAUACAGCCAUUUUCAUGUUUUGCUCUUUGGCCAUGAUGUACGCACCACAAGCAGUUGAACCGAAAUAUCAAGUUAAAGCUGGAAUGUUUGCCGCUGCAAUGCUCAUUACAGGAAUUUUUGAUGGAAUAUUAUUUUCGUUUUUAAAUCCUUAUUUUAUUGUUUAAGAAAAAUUGUUAUAUCUUUGUACAAACAAUAUCAUUUAUUUAAAUUUUACACUAUUAUGCUAAUAUCAUUUUAACCUAUGUAAAAUACGAUUAAAUAAUCAAAUAAAAAAUUUUGAUAAAAUUACAUUAAAAUAAAA
Long non-coding RNA from Bactrocera oleae (olive fruit fly), 2545 nucleotides. RefSeq lists it as uncharacterized. The record is from RefSeq and is a predicted model, not a curated record. Lineage: Eukaryota; Metazoa; Arthropoda; Insecta; Diptera; Tephritidae.